UUUCCAGCAGCCGCGGUAAUACGAAGGGGGCUAGCGUUGCUCGGAAUCACUGGGCGUAAAGCGCACGUAGGCGGACUCUUAAGUCGGUGGUGAAAUCCUGGAGCUCAACUCCAGAACUGCCUUCGAUACUGGGAGUCUCGAGUUCGGGAGAGGUGAGUGGAACUGCGAGUGUAGAGGUGAAAUUCGUAGAUAUUCGCAAGAACACCAGUGGCGAAGGCGGCUCACUGGCCCGAUACUGACGCUGAGGUGCGAAAGCGUGGGGAGCAAACAGGAUUAGAAACCCGAGUAGUCC
Molecule: ribosomal RNA, 292 nt
Filed under: uncultured bacterium
Lineage: Bacteria
Description: partial 16S ribosomal RNA
Rfam family: Bacterial small subunit ribosomal RNA
Source: RNAcentral